RNAcentral lists this ribosomal RNA (109 nucleotides) under bovine gut metagenome. The record is from RNAcentral.
GGUGUUGAUAGAGCUGAGGGUACACCUGUUCCCAUUCCGAACACAGAAGUUAAGCUCAGAUUCGCCGAAGAUACUUGAGUGGUGACGCUCCGGGAAAAUAGGAAGACGC